RNAcentral lists this ribosomal RNA (429 nucleotides) under Chloroflexota bacterium. RNAcentral describes it as "Chloroflexi bacterium partial 16S ribosomal RNA". It matches the Rfam family "Bacterial small subunit ribosomal RNA", at positions 355 to 776 of the family's 1533-position model. The record is from RNAcentral. Lineage: Bacteria; Bacillati; Chloroflexota.
UGGGGAAUAUUGCACAAUGGGCGCAAGCCUGAUGCAGCCAUGCCGCGUGUAUGAAGAAGGCCUUCGGGUUGUAAAGUACUUACAGCGGGGAGGAAGGGAGUAAAGUUAAUACCUUUGCUCAUUGACGUUACCCGCAGAAGAAGCACCGGCUAACUCCGUGCCAGCAGCCGCGGUAAUACGGAGGGUGCAAGCGUUAAUCGGAAUUACUGGGCGUAAAGCGCACGCAGGCGGUCUGUCAAGUCGGAUGUGAAAUCCCCGGGCUUAACCUGGGAACUGCAUUCGAAACUGGCAGGCUAGAGUCUUGUAGAGGGGGGUAGAAUUCCAGGUGUAGCGGUGAAAUGCGUAGAGAUCUGGAGGAAUACCGGUGGCGAAGGCGGCCCCCUGGACAAAGACUGACGCUCAGGUGCGAAAGCGUGGGGAGCAAACAGG